UACGUAGGGGGCAAGCGUUGCCCGGAUUUAUUGGGCGUAAAGAGCGUGUAGGCGGCCAGACAGGUCCGUUGUGAAAACUCGAGGCUCAACCUCGAGACGCCGAUGGAAACCGUCUGGCUAGAGUCCGGAAGAGGAGAGUGGAAUUCCCGGUGUAGCGGUGAAAUGCGCAGAUAUCGGGAAGAACACCCGUGGCUAAGGCGGCUCUCUAGUACGGUACUGACGCUGAGACGCGAAAGCGUGGGGAGCGAACAGG
RNAcentral lists this ribosomal RNA (253 nucleotides) under uncultured bacterium. RNAcentral describes it as "partial 16S ribosomal RNA". It matches the Rfam family "Bacterial small subunit ribosomal RNA", at positions 524 to 776 of the family's 1533-position model. The record is from RNAcentral.